ACCCCCUCCCCUUGGUCUCUAUGGGCGCGCGCAGGCAGCCUCGCUCACCGGCCCCAGGGCCCCGGCUGAAGGGCCGCCGCUAGAGCCACCCCCGCGCUCCCGCCGCUUCUAGUCGCGCAACGGAGAUGCGAUCAGUAAGUUGGAAAAAGAGGAGACGCUACUCCCAGCGACCCCGCCGCCGCCGCCGCUGCUCCCGAGGCCUCACCAAAAUGGCCGCCGCCUUCUCGGCCGCCACCGCCACUACCACCACCACCACCACCAAGGCUCGUUAUCGCUACCGCCGGAGCGGCCCGUCUUCUCGCGAUACACAGUAACUGGAGGCUGGAGGGGCGGGUAUGCUCGCGUGCUAGCGUAGGACUCUUGUCUGGAGCGCAAAGCAAGGUGGGAGUUGUAGUCCUUCCCGAGGUUCCAUCCUUGCCCAGCUCGCUUCUGCGGAUCUGAAACUACUUUAACUCGAGCUGCCUUGCAGCUGCUCUGGUGAACAUCCUUUGGGUUUGUGAGUUUUUAUUUUUAUUUUUAGAUCAUCCAGUGAAGUCAAACAAAUUAGUUGUGGAACCUUAGCCACCAGUAGCUUUUUUUUUUUUUUUAAAGACAAGUUCUCACAAUGAUCUAUGGCAGACCUGGACUCGCUACGUAGAUCCGGCUAACCUUAAACUCAACAGACGCUCCUGGCUCUGCCUAGGAUCAACGGUGCGAGCCAUCACUACCAACUGCAGUUGACUUUGUAGCAUUGGUUUUUCAUGAGCCCCCAAACAUCUGUGCCAUUAGUUUGCAGGUUUUCUGCAUUAAGAACCCUUUUGAGAGGCUGGGAAGAGAGCUCAGCGACGAAGAAUAUUGGCUAGUUCCUCUUCCAGAGGACCCAGAUUCUAUUUCCAACAUUCACAGUAGCUCAACCAUCCAUAACUCCAGUUUCAGGGAACCGGACACCCUCUUCUGGCUUCAAAGGUCACUGCACAUGGUAUAACAGACCCACAUGCUUGUAAAAUGCCCAUGCAUAUCAAAUAAAAAUCCUCUUAAAAAAA
This is a long non-coding RNA of Microtus ochrogaster (prairie vole), 1022 nucleotides long. RefSeq lists it as uncharacterized. The record is from RefSeq and is a predicted model, not a curated record. Lineage: Eukaryota; Metazoa; Chordata; Mammalia; Rodentia; Cricetidae.